GUGGUUGUGGCUCAGCGGUAGAGCGCUCGCCUAGCAUGUGCGGAGCACUGGGUUCGAUCCUCAGCACCACA
Molecule: transfer RNA, 71 nt
Filed under: Ictidomys tridecemlineatus (thirteen-lined ground squirrel)
Lineage: Eukaryota; Metazoa; Chordata; Mammalia; Rodentia; Sciuridae
Description: Spermophilus tridecemlineatus (thirteen-lined ground squirrel) tRNA
Rfam family: tRNA
About the family: Transfer RNA (tRNA) molecules are approximately 80 nucleotides in length. Their secondary structure includes four short double-helical elements and three loops (D, anti-codon, and T loops).
Source: Rfam by way of RNAcentral